GGUAAUCGUUAAUGUUAAAGUAGCAACUCUUUCAAUAUUGUCUUUUGUCCAAAUUUUCCUUUGGGCACAAACUCUGGAUAACAAGACACGGCGGCGCAGCCACCUUUUCCAGCGGAGACACCACCACCAGCACCACAGGAAAUGACGUCCAGCUCUCUCCCUUUUACUUGUUCCUCUUUUCAGCUUUCCCCCACACCAAAAUCCACCCGCAUUCGGACUCCAACUCCCGCCUUCACCCAUAACCCAUUUCCACCUUCAGCAAUCCGAAUGUGUGCAUCAACCCAACCCAAGAAAAUCCCGGGUCCGAAAAGGAUCAACAAGAAAAGGGGCUCUUCUUCCUCUUCCGAAGCAGAAGACUUAGUUCGCCUGCUCAUGAGGAAUUUCACUGAUAAGCAGCCUUUGGUGAAUACUUUGAACAAGUAUGUGAAGCUUGUGAGGACAGAGCACUGUUUCUUGCUGUUCGAGGAGCUUGGGAAGAGCGAUAAGUGGCUUCAGUGCCUUGAGAUGUUCAGAUGGAUGCAGAAGCAGAGAUGGUAUAUAGCUGAUAAUGGGGUGUAUUCAAAGUUGAUCUCAGUCAUGGGCAAGAAAGGGCAAACUCGAAUGGCCAUGUGGCUUUUCUCUGAGAUGCGUAAUAGUGGUUGUAAGCCUGACACAUCGGUUUACAAUGCACUGAUCACAGCCCACCUCCACUCUCGGGAUAAAUCGAAGGCAUUAGCGAAGGCUCUUUGGUAUUUUGAGAAAAUGAAGGGGAUGGAGCGGUGUAAACCUAGUAUUGUGACGUACAACAUUCUUUUGAGAGCCUUUGCUCAGGCAAGAAAUGUUGAUCAAGUUAAUGCUUUGUUCAAAGAUCUCGAUGAAAGUAUUGUCAGUCCUGAUAUCUAUACAUUUAAUGGUGUGAUGGAUGCCUAUGGGAAACUUGGGAUGAUUAGGGAAAUGGAGCUUGUUCUUUCUAGAAUGAAGAGCAAUCAGAUAAAACCAGACAUCAUUACUUUUAAUUUGUUAAUUGAUGCAUAUGGGAGAAAACAAGAAUUUGAUAAGAUGGAACAAGUUUUCAAGAGCUUGUUGCGCUCCAAAGAGAAACCGACACUCCCUACAUUUAAUUCCAUGAUUACGAACUAUGGAAAAGCAAGGCUCAGGGAGAAAGCAGAUUUGGUCUUCCAGAAAAUGACUGAAAUGGGUUAUAAGCCAAGCUUCAUUACUUAUGAGUGUCUUAUUAUGAUGUACGGUUACUGUGACUGUAUCUCGAAGGCUAGAGAGAUUUUUGACCAGAUGGCUGAGUCUGAAAAGGAGAAAAAAGUAUCAACUCUUAAUGCGAUGCUUGAUGUCUAUUGCCGGAAUGCUUUACCCAUGGAAGCAGAUAUGCUUUUCGAGAGUGCACGUAGAAGUCGAAUGUUUGCUGUAGAUUCCUCUACUUACAAGCUCCUUUACAAGGCCUAUACUAAAGCCAAUAUGAAAGAGCUAAUAGAGAAAUUACUCAUGUAUAUGGACAAAGAUGGUAUCGUUCCAAACAAAAGGUUCUUCCUCGAUGCUCUGGGGGCACUUGGGUCGUCGCCUCCCGGCAAGAAAUCCACAAGAAAGAGUGAUGGAUUGCACCAAGAAGCUGCUACUGCACAGUCAUAAUUAGAUAGAGCUGGGAUAUGAUUGAAUCACUCUUGCAUACCUGAGUAUGCUGGGGCAUAAGAAGAGCUUUUUUUUCAAAUGUUGCACUUGGUGAUUUCAUAGUGCUACUAACAUAGUUGCUGGAUUGUUCAUGCAAUUUUGCAGUCCAUUAUGAGUGUUCUGUUACAGGUUGGCUUCAUCUGAAGGGAAAUUGUGUAUGACUUCUGAAGUUAGUGAUACUGUGGAAGCAAAGAGCGGGAUUGGUGCUUGGGUUGAGCAACUUGAAGGGAACUUAAACAAAUAGGAAUUGAGUGUUGAACGGCAAUAACCAUGAGAAACAGAUAAUGCAGAAGUAUCGAUUUGCAAGGCUGAAGCAGAGUUGCAUUGAGCUCGCAUGUGAUGAUAUUUUACUUAUCUGAAGUUCGAGAAGAGGUGAUUGUUUUGGUAUAGCCAACUUAAUAAAGGAAAACCAUAAUGUGUUGUAUUCCGAGACCAACUUCAGAUUUGAGAUUAAUGACUUAAAAUGAGUCGAAUGUCAAUGAAAUGUUCUCUUUAUAUAUUAGAAUGUCAAUGCCAAUAUACUCUGUUACAGGUGAUGCUUCAUUGGCUAUUUCCACCCAAUGGCAUUAUCAUUUAUUUUCUUUCAACAUAUAGAGUAAAAAGACAAGAAUUUCACUCAGGACAGAAUCACCAUUUUCCUCCCUUUCUGAUGCACUAGCUGAUGCUUGUUGGUUCAUCUGAACAGUAUGGCAUGUGUGUUUCUUUGCACAUGUUGCCUGAUUGAAACUAUUACAAUUUCUCGAUGCUACAGAUUUUGAAGUUCAAGCGAAUAGCUGUUGCUCUUGUUCUUGAUUGUAUUCCACAGUUCAUGGGAUUAGGAUCUCUUCAUUUUACCUUCAUUCAAGAGGUGUUCAUUUGCUUGCUUGCUCUGUCUUUGCGGAUGGCUUCCAACUGAAUUACAAAUGAGAUUUCUGCUCUGCAGAUGUAGAAAUCUAAAGUUUCCUCUUGAUUAAGUUACACCAUUUUUGAAUAAAUUCUUUCAUCAGGAUUCAACCUUGCUGCUAAAGUAUUCUUAGAAUGUCUUCAGUUUCUCCCUAGAGUUGAGCUUCUUGACGGACACUUUUCUCCAUAUAUUUUAUGGCUUUGUGGUGGCACUUCAUGAUUAUAGCAUGCAUUAGCUUGGUAAGACAAGCUGCAACUAUAUUUGCAAUCAUGUUGCAUAACUGUUCGAACAGUCCCUCAUCCGUUGGGGGCCGAUCACCUUCAUAUCCUAUCAAGAGCCUUUGCAGAUCUUGUACAUUGAGUUAGCAGCUAUAACCUUAACCGGCCAGUUAAGAGGUUUUCCAUCAGGCUUUUCUCUAUGAGUUUCACGUAGAAGAGGCCUUAAUCCAGGCUCUGCAGUAGCCACUUGACUUUGUGCAUUGGGAUGUCAGGAAGUGCAGUGGCGAUGCUCGUCACAUCAGGGUCACCAGAGGCAAAGACCAGCACUUCGGAGUUUCCUGAGAAUGCAGGGUUGGGAGUUGGUUCCUGUCAACUUCUUUCAACCCUCCGGCUGCCCGUUGAUUUAUUACUUGGAGUUGAUUUUUCUUUUUCCCUUUUCCUCUCUGUGUGCUGCAGUCAUGAGACAACAAAUUGUUGGUUGAAGUUCAAGAAAAACUAAUGAAAUGAGCUCUUUAUAUGGUCUUUUAAGUUGACAUUGCUAAAAGGUGCAUCUGGUUAACAUGUGACAGGUUCAUUCUUCUGUCCGGGGAGUAGGGCUGGCGGACGAGUCGAGCCGGCUCGCGAAGCACUCUAGUUCAAUUAUUUCUGUCGUGAGCAGCUUUUUCUAUUUUUUUAAUUAUUUUUAUUUUUGAAAUUUUUAUAUAUUUAAUUUCAUAGUCAAUAUUUUAUCAAUUUUA
This is a non-coding RNA of Sesamum indicum (sesame), 3497 nucleotides long. Lineage: Eukaryota; Viridiplantae; Streptophyta; Magnoliopsida; Lamiales; Pedaliaceae. The record is from RefSeq and is a predicted model, not a curated record.